Non-coding RNA from Zonotrichia albicollis (white-throated sparrow), 1247 nucleotides. Lineage: Eukaryota; Metazoa; Chordata; Aves; Passeriformes; Passerellidae. The record is from RefSeq and is a predicted model, not a curated record.
AGUCUCUUGGCUGUUGUGAGAAGAAGAAAGAGUCAGUGCUUGGAGGAGCUGCCUAUGGGUAACAUCAAGGAGGUAUGAAACUCUUGCACUAAGGAGACAACAAUAUGGAACCUUUGCAGUAUAAUGACAACAUCUACGUAAGCAGAGUUUAAAAAUGCAUUUGCAAACUCUGUGUAGGCUUGCAUGGAGCUCUGCAGGUGGGUGACUGACUCAGGGACACUGCAGCUCUGGAGGCUGCACAGGGCUUACAACAGACCCCACUGCAAUUCUCAGUGCUCAUCUCCAAAACAAGUUCUUGGUAGAGGACCUGCACCCAAGAACACACUGAGAGAGACAGAACUGAAGGGCACCUUCCACACAGAAACCUGGAGCGAGCAGGAGAGUGCAGGUUCAUGAACAUCCUGCUCUCCUCGUGGGGUGUAUGUACACAGCUUGGCAAAGGAAAGGAAACAAGGAGCAAACCAAGAGGCAGGUCUGAGACUGGCUCAUUACAUUGAAGAAUAGAAGGGAACAGGCUGGUUGGAUCCCAUGACAAUCCCCCAGUCCCCCACAGUGAGCACAUUAGCUUCUGUUUGGCUGAGAUAUCUGUACCCUUCUCCACCCAGAGACCUCAAGAGAAAGGGACAUCAUCAUUUCCCUUUGCAGUUCCUUAAAAUAAACAGUAGCCAGCUCAGUGGAGAAGCAGAAGCAGACUGGGAGCAGCACACACCUGCUUUUCCUGGAGGCUGAAAGGCUGCCCUUGCCCAUCCCAUCAGGACCUCAGAGCUGGUGUCUGUCCAGUUAACAACACCUUGAGAAAACCUUUUCUCUUCCAUUGCCUCUGCAAUUCCACAGCAUAACCUGCUCUAGAUGUGAGCUGGAGUCCAUCACUAGAGUUAGAGAAAGCAGGAUGGACACUGGAGGGUGAAAUGCCAAUUUCAGAGCUUUCUGAGCCCCAUGGAGAGCCCAGGCACCGGGGCUGCUCUUCCCUCGUGCCCCUCCUUGCUGGGCACAGGAGGAGCUCAGGCUGCUCUCUGCAGAUGCAGCAGCAGCACUCUCCCAAGCAGCUGAACACAUCCAGCACACAGAUGUCUGCUUUGGUAUUAAUAUCAUUUCAGAUGUACAUUAGAGGGGCAGAUUUACAGUCUGGGACUACAUCCAAAUUGUCAUUUAAGGCAGUGAGAUAAUCAGUAAGAAUUUCUUCCCUUUUAUUGGUGCUCAUUCUUCCUCCGGCAAGGAGGAAGCAAGGAAAACAAAGAAAAUUUAAA